CAUUUAGGCUGUACCUUGCUGAUUUUAUCUGUCCAUGGAAGCUAAGCAGGAGGGGGUCUGGUUAGAGCUGUAGUGGGAAACCACCUGAGAAUACCGGGAACUGUAGGA
Molecule: ribosomal RNA, 108 nt
Filed under: Salvator merianae (Argentine black and white tegu)
Lineage: Eukaryota; Metazoa; Chordata; Lepidosauria; Squamata; Teiidae
Source: RNAcentral